This 245-nucleotide ribosomal RNA is filed under the name uncultured bacterium. RNAcentral describes it as "partial 16S ribosomal RNA". It matches the Rfam family "Bacterial small subunit ribosomal RNA", at positions 87 to 334 of the family's 1533-position model. The record is from RNAcentral.
AUGACGGAGCGGCGAACGGGUGAGUAACACGUGGGCAACCUGCCCCUAGCUCUGGGAUAAGCCCGGGAAACCGGGUCUAAUACCGGAUAUGAAGUCGAAAGGCAUCUUUUGACUUGGAAAGUUUUUCGGCUAGGGAUGGGCCCGCGGCCUAUCAGCUUGUUGGUGAGGUAACGGCCCACCAAGGCGACGACGGGUAGCCGGCCUGAGAGGGCGACCGGCCACACUGGGACUGAGACACGGCCCAG